UACGGGAGGCAGCAGUGGGGAAUCUUGCGCAAUGGGCGAAAGCCUGACGCAGCCAUGCCGCGUGAAUGAUGAAGGUCUUAGGAUUGUAAAAUUCUUUCACCGGGGACGAUAAUGACGGUACCCGGAGAAGAAGCCCCGGCUAACUUCGUGCCAGCAGCCGCGGUAAUACGAAGGGGCUAGCGUUGCUCGGAAUUACUGGGCGUAAAGGGCGCGUAGGCGGAUCGUUAAGUCAGAGGUGAAAUCCCAGGGCUCAACCCUGGAACUGCCUUUUGAUACUGGCGAUCUUGAGUAUGAGAGAGGUAUGUGGAACUCCGAGUGUAGAGGUGAAAUUCGUAGAUAUUCGGAAGAACACCAGUGGCGAAGGCGACAUACUGGCUCAUUACUGACGCUGAGGGCGCGAAAGCGUGGGGAGCAAACAGGGAUUAGAUACC
RNAcentral lists this ribosomal RNA (431 nucleotides) under uncultured bacterium. RNAcentral's name for it is "bacterial SSU rRNA". It matches the Rfam family "Bacterial small subunit ribosomal RNA", at positions 340 to 786 of the family's 1533-position model. The record is from RNAcentral.